AGUCGAACGGCAGCACGGACUUCGGUCUGGUGGCGAGUGGCGAACAGGUGAAUGUAUCGGAACGUGUAUAGUAGCGGGGGAUAACUACGCGGCGUAGCUAAUACCGCAUACGCCCUUCGGGGAAAGCGGGGGACCUUUCGGGCCUCGCACUAUUGACGGCGAUAUCGGAUUAGCUAGUUGGUGGGGUAACGGCUCACCGGGCGACGAUCCGUAGCUGGUUUGAAGGACGACCAACCUCACUGGGACUGAGACACGGCCCAGACUCCUACGGGAGGCAGCAGUGGGGAAUUUUGGACAAUGAAACCCUGAUCCAGCCAUCCCGCGUGCAUUGAAGGCCUUCCGGGUUGUAAAAAGCACUUUUGGCAGGAAAGAAACGGCACGGGGACAGCACCCCGUGCAACUGACGGUACCUGCAGAAUAAGCACCGGCUAACCACGUGCCAGCAGCCGCGGUAAUACGUAGAGUGCAAGCGUUAAUCAAGGUUACUGGGCGUAAAGCGUGCGCAGGCGGUUCGGAAGAAAGAUGUGAAAUCCCAGAGCUUAACUUUGGAACUACAUUUUUAACUACCGAGCUAGAGUGUGUCAGAGGGAGGUGGAGAUUCCACGUGUAGCAGUGAAGUAAAUGAAUAUGCGGAGGAGGGAACACCGAUGGCGAAGGCAGCCUCCUGGGAUAACACUGACGCUCGCCGCGAAAGCGUGGGGAGCAAACGGGAUUAGAUACCCUGGUGUCCACGCCCUAAACGAUGUCAACUAGCUGUUGGGGCCUUCGGGCGCGGUAGCGCAACUAACGCGUGAAGUUGACCGCCUGGGGGAGUACGGUCGCAAGAUUAAAACUCAAAGGAAUUGACGGGGACCCGCAAGCGGUGGAUGAUGUGGAUUAAUUCGAUGCAACGCGAAAAACCUUACCUACCCUUGACAUUGUCUGGAAUCCCGAAGAGAUUUGGGAGUGCUCGCAAAGAGAACCGGAACACAGGUGCUGCAUGGCUGUCGUCAGCUCGUGUCGUGAGAUGUUGGGUUAAGUCCGCAACGGGCGCAACCCUUGUCAUUAGAUUGCUACGAAAGGGCACUCUAAUGAGACUGCCGGUGACAAACCGGAGGAAGGUGGGGAUGAUCAAGUCCUCAUGGCCCUUAUGGGUAGGGCUUCACACGUCAUACAAUGGUCAGGACAGGGGUCGCCAACCCGCGAGGAGAGCCAAUCCCGAAACCCGAUCGUAGUCCGGAUCGCAGUCUGCAACUCGACUGCGUGAAGUCGGAAUCGCUGGUAAUCGCGGAUCAGCAUGUCGCAGUGAAUACGUUCCCGGGUCUUGUACACACCGCCCGUCACACCAUGGGAGUGGGUUUUACCAAGUAGUUAAGCUAACCGUAAGGAGGCGAUUACCACGGUAGGAUUCAUGACUGGGGUGAAGUCGUAACAAAGGUAG
RNAcentral lists this ribosomal RNA (1420 nucleotides) under uncultured Bordetella sp. Its description in RNAcentral is "partial 16S-23S ribosomal RNA intergenic spacer". It matches the Rfam family "Bacterial small subunit ribosomal RNA". The record is from RNAcentral. Lineage: Bacteria; Pseudomonadati; Pseudomonadota; Betaproteobacteria; Burkholderiales; Alcaligenaceae.